UACGGGGGGGGCAAGCGUUGUUCGGAAUUACUGGGCGUAAAGGGUCUGUAGGCGGCCAACUAAGUCAGACGUGAAAUCCCCCGGCUCAACCGGGGAACUGCGUCUGAUACUGGAUGGCUUGAAUCCGGGAGAGGGAUGCGGAAUUCCAGGUGUAGCGGUGAAAUGCGUAGAUAUCUGGAGGAACACCGGUGGCGAAGGCGGCAUCCUGGACCAAUACUGACGCUGAGGAGCGAAAGCCAGGGGAGCAAACGGG
This 253-nucleotide ribosomal RNA is filed under the name uncultured bacterium. RNAcentral's name for it is "partial 16S ribosomal RNA". It matches the Rfam family "Bacterial small subunit ribosomal RNA", at positions 524 to 776 of the family's 1533-position model. The record is from RNAcentral.